Molecule: long non-coding RNA, 320 nt
Organism: Aquila chrysaetos chrysaetos
Lineage: Eukaryota; Metazoa; Chordata; Aves; Accipitriformes; Accipitridae
Exons: 3
Source: RefSeq, a predicted model, not a curated record
GCGACUCCCCCCGCCCCCCCAAAGGGACCGGCCCCGGCCCCCCCCCCACGGAGCCCGCCGUGCCCCCCGGGGCCGUGGCCGCUGUUUCCUUCGGGGCCUUCGUGGUGGGGGCGGCCCUGGCGGGGGGGCUCUGGUUUGUCCACGGCCGCACAGCUCAGGACCACCGACCCGAAGCCGCCUCCAGCCAGGACCCCCCUGGCAGCACCCUGAGCCCGGGACCCCCCCCCCAGGACCCCCCCCCAAUUGCCUGGGUCCCCCCAGGGACCCCCCCCUCUUUCCCAGGGGCGGGGGGGGGCAAAUAAAGGUGCUGCUGAACCCCC